AGUAACGCGUAGGAAUCUACCAAAUAGCGGGGGAUAGCCCGGAGAAAUCCGGAUUAAUACCGCAUAAUCUCUACGGAGUAAAGAGGGCCUCUAUUUAUAAGCUUUCACUAUUUGAUGAGCCCGCGUUAGAUUAGCUAGUUGGUGAGGUAAAAGCUCACCAAGGCGACGAUCUUUAGCUGGUCUGAGAGGAUGAUCAGCCACACUGGGACUGAGACACGGCCCAGACUCC
RNAcentral lists this ribosomal RNA (229 nucleotides) under uncultured bacterium. RNAcentral's name for it is "partial 16S ribosomal RNA". It matches the Rfam family "Bacterial small subunit ribosomal RNA", at positions 109 to 339 of the family's 1533-position model. The record is from RNAcentral.